UUCCGGUUGAUCCUGCCGGACCUGACUGCUAUCGGAUUGAUACUAAGCCAUGCGAGUCAUUGUAGCAAUACAAGGCAGACGGCUCAGUAACGCGUAGUCAACCUACCCUAUGGACGGGAAUAACCUCGGGAAACUGAGUAUAAUGCCCGAUAGAACACUAUACCUGGAAUGGUUUGUGUUCCAAAUGAUUUAUCGCCAUAGGAUGGGACUGCGGCCUAUCAGUUUGUUGGUGAGGUAAUGGCCCACCAAGACUAUUACAGGUACGGGCUCUGAGAGGAGUGGCCCGGAGAUGGGUACUGAGACACGGACCCAGGCCCUAUGGGGCGCAGCAGGCGAGAAAACUUUGCAAUGUGCGAAAGCACGACAAGGUUAAUCCGAGUGGUUUCUGCUAAAGGAACCUUUUGACAGUCCUAGAAACACUGUUGAAUAAGGGGUGGGCAAGUUCUGGUGUCAGCCGCCGCGGUAAAACCAGCACCUCAAGUGGUCAGGAUGAUUAUUGGGCCUAAAGCAUCCGUAGCCGGCUCUGUAAGUUUUCGGUUAAAUCUGUACGCUUAACGUACAGGCUGCUGGGAAUACUGCAGAGCUAGGGAGUGGGAGAGGUAGACGGUACUCGGGAGGAAGUGGUAAAAUGCUUUGAUCUCUCGAUGACCACCUGUGGCGAAGGCGGUCUACCAGAACACGUCCGACGGUGAGGGAUGAAAGCUGGGGGAGCAGACCGGAUUAGAUACCCGGGUAGUCCCAGCUGUAAACUAUGCAAACUCAGUGAUGCACUGGCUUGUGGCCAGUGCAGUGUUGCAGGGAAGCCGUUAAGUUUGCCGCCUGGGAAGUACGUACGCAAGUAUGAAACUUAAAGGAAUUGGCGGGGGAGCACCACAAGGGGUGAAGCCUGCGGUUCAAUUGGAGUCAACGCCGGGA
This 915-nucleotide ribosomal RNA is filed under the name uncultured marine group I thaumarchaeote. RNAcentral's name for it is "bacterial SSU rRNA". It matches the Rfam family "Archaeal small subunit ribosomal RNA", at positions 1 to 923 of the family's 1478-position model. The record is from RNAcentral. Lineage: Archaea; Thermoproteati; Nitrososphaerota.